This is a long non-coding RNA of Oncorhynchus gorbuscha (pink salmon), 851 nucleotides long. RefSeq lists it as uncharacterized. The record is from RefSeq and is a predicted model, not a curated record. NCBI's taxonomy places the organism in Eukaryota, Metazoa, Chordata, Actinopteri, Salmoniformes, Salmonidae. The transcript is spliced from 3 exons.
ACAUGCACACAGAGGAGGAACACACUGAAAUCUGACUGCGGAGGCCUUUUUCGUGUGUGGGCCUGUUUUUUAUUUUUUGCUUGAGAAAACCGAUCUGUUUUAAAACAGGCAGGAGGACUGAGUGCCAGAAGAAACAGGGUGAACAAGAGAGAAAGAAAGGGAAGAAAGUAUUUCCUGAAAAUGGAAAGAGACUGAUUUGCAAACAAGCAAAGUUUGCCUAUGAAUUCGUUGAAAAAAUAUGGAAACCCCUUUUCCCUACUUUGCCAUGAUCUCUUAACUCAUAAAAGUCCCAUUCUGUUUGGUAUUGUGUGAUGGAAUAGGAGGCCAGCGAGCCCCCUGGCUCUUUACGAUGGCUGUGCUGUGUGUGCAGCUCUGCCAUGUCAUGAUGUGAUUCCUUGGCGCGCGCGCCGCCUGGCCCGUUAAAGACAAACUCUAUGUGAACCUUCUGAAAGGGAGAUGGCAGCGGGCCUGGGUCAACACAUUGAGAGGGGGAGACAUGGGAGCCAGGGACCAUGCAGAAUGUUUGUCCAAACCUGAGAAACCUCCAUUAACUGUGUAGUAAGGAGUGGGACAGGCCAACCAUGACAUGUACAGGCUGAACCAGAGGCUAGGUUAUAGAUCAGUGGAGGCUCCUCCUCAGAGGAAAGGGAGGAUCAUCCAACUCAGUGAAUUUAUCAAAAAUCUAAAUAGUGAAACAUUAAAAAAGUUAUAAUUUUUUUAGAUAAAACAAUACUAAAUAUAUUCUCAUCACCAAAUAACCAAUUAAAAGACAAAGAAGUGUACAGUAGCCUCAACAGGGUAGCUCCACGGUGUAGCCAGAGGACAGCUAGUUUUCAUCCUCCUUUCGAUAU